GUCAGACAGCAGAAGGCCUCGCCCCGGCUGGCUCCUGCUCUUCUUGUACUGAUCUGGGAUCUCAGGGCACUGGGCUCAGGAAACCAAGGAGGCCCCCGAUAUCGUGGCACCAGGUUGGGGUUCCCACGCCCAGCCUGGGUCCCCACAUCCCCCAAUGAGUGGCCCCAGAGUCCCAGUCCAGCCCGGCACAGGGUUCAGCGGCCCCAGGCAGCUGGGCUAUCACGUGGCGCGGAGGCUUGGGCGGGGCAGCCAAGCGAUAUUUUAACAGUCGUUCUGGCCGCUUUGCUGUGUGGUGAUCUGGACCGUGCGGACUUGCUCGUCCCCUCAGCUCUCCUGUUAGGCGUCUCUUUUCUCCAGGAGGAAAAAUGGCAGCAGCAGUAGUGGAUCCACAACAGGUAUGAUUUCUAAGUAUUCG
RNAcentral lists this long non-coding RNA (415 nucleotides) under Mus spicilegus (steppe mouse). RNAcentral describes it as "lncRNA (ENSMSIG00000018868.1)". Lineage: Eukaryota; Metazoa; Chordata; Mammalia; Rodentia; Muridae. The record is from RNAcentral.